CCUACGGGAGGCAGCAGUGGGGAAUAUUGGGCAAUGGGCGCAAGCCUGACCCAGCAACGCCGCGUGAAGGAAGAAGGCUUUCGGGUUGUAAACUUCUUUUCUCAGGGACGAAGCAAGUGACGGUACCUGAGGAAUAAGCCACGGCUAACUACGUGCCAGCAGCCGCGGUAAUACGUAGGUGGCAAGCGUUAUCCGGAUUUACUGGGGGUAAAGGGCGUGUAGGCGGGAAAGCAAGUCAGAUGUGAAAACCAUGGGCUCAACCUGUGGCCUGCAUUUGAAACUGUUUUUCUUGAGUACUGGAGAGGCAGACGGAAUUCCUAGUGUAGCGGUGAAAUGCGUAGAUAUUAGGAGGAACACCAGUGGCGAAGGCGGUCUGCUGGACAGUAACUGACGCUGAGGCGCGAAAGCGUGGGGAGCAAACAGGAUUAGAUACCCCUGUAGUC
This 443-nucleotide ribosomal RNA is filed under the name uncultured bacterium. Its description in RNAcentral is "partial 16S ribosomal RNA". It matches the Rfam family "Bacterial small subunit ribosomal RNA", at positions 338 to 795 of the family's 1533-position model. The record is from RNAcentral.